This 41-nucleotide ribosomal RNA is filed under the name Scorpidium scorpioides. Its description in RNAcentral is "partial 25S ribosomal RNA". RNAcentral also lists the same sequence under 12 other names. Lineage: Eukaryota; Viridiplantae; Streptophyta; Bryopsida; Hypnales; Amblystegiaceae. The record is from RNAcentral.
CAGACCUCUAAUCGGAAAAGACUACCCGCUGAGUUUAAGCA